Molecule: long non-coding RNA, 919 nt
Filed under: Capsicum annuum
Lineage: Eukaryota; Viridiplantae; Streptophyta; Magnoliopsida; Solanales; Solanaceae
Description: long non-coding RNA (CANN_LNC005543)
Source: RNAcentral
AGAAAUUAAUUAAAAAUAUAUUAUUUAAGAAUUAAUACACAUUAAAAUCCACUAAUUACAUCUGAUGAGGAAGAAGCAACAACUACACAGAAAACUAUAUAAAAAAAUAUGAAAAGUCAUUGUAAUUAGCAUAAUAUACGCUAAAUGGAGAAAGGGGUCUCCUUAAAGAUUUAAAUUAAUUGUUCCAAUGUGGGUUUUAACUCUGCAUGUACUUAGUGAGGUUUUUAAAGUCAUUUAAUAAAUAGGUUCUGAAUUAAAAAAAUUUAAAAGAAAUCUCAAAAAAUGAAAAAAAAACAUAAAAAAGUGAGAAAAGAUAAAUAGGAAUGAAGGCCGUAGAGACACUACUGGAAAUAGGGGCUAUGACAACGGUUAUAUUACCAUCUCCAUAGAUGCAAAACCCGUCCCUGUAUAUCUAUGGCGACUGUUAGUCCAGCCGCACCACUGAUCGCGUUACAGUAGCUCUAUUGUAACAGUUGUUUGCGACGGUUGCCUAAAUCGUCACCAUGCACAUACUUAUCACGAAGAUUCUCGCUACAAAAAUACUGCAAUGGUUUUGUACUGUAGCAACGACUACUACCCAUUCCUAUAAGACUUUAUACGAUGGUUAUAUAAUUCUAUUGCAAUGUUUGUUUUCUACAUUGGUAGGACAUAUUGUGACGGUUGAAGGUAUUUUGUGACGGUUACCAAACCGUCCCUGUAAAAUGUUAAAAAAACGGUUAUAUAUUGAUAACGCAAUGUGUUUACCAUUACAUAAUAGCUAAGGCGACGGUUCUUAAGAUGGUGAUGUGACGGUUAUCUGUACACUAUUACAACACUUAUUUUUAGGCUAUUGCCACGGUUAUUAUAGGUUAUGGCAACACUUAUUUUAAGGCUAAUGCGACGGUUAUUAUCGGUUAUUGUAAUAGUUGUUCAAAAGCAA